CCUACGGGGAGCAGCAGUGGGGAAUAUUGGACAAUGGGCGAAAGCCUGAUCCAGCCAUGCCGCGUGUGUGAAGAAGGCCUUCGGGUUGUAAAGCACUUUCAGUGGGGAAGAAAGCCUUGGGCUAAUACCCUCGAGGAAGGACAUCACCCACAGAAGAAGCACCGGCUAACUCCGUGCCAGCAGCCGCGGUAAUACGGAGGGUGCGAGCGUUAAUCGGAAUUACUGGGCGUAAAGCGCGCGUAGGCGGUCUGAUAAGCCGGUUGUGAAAGCCCCGGGCUCAACCUGGGAACGGCAUCCGGAACUGUCAGGCUAGAGUGCAGGAGAGGAAGGUAGAAUUCCCGGUGUAGCGGUGAAAUGCGUAGAGAUCGGGAGGAAUACCAGUGGCGAAGGCGGCCUUCUGGACUGACACUGACGCUGAGGUGCGAAAGCGUGGGUAGCAAACAGGAUUAGAUACCCCGGUAGUC
This 464-nucleotide ribosomal RNA is filed under the name Vreelandella stevensii. RNAcentral describes it as "partial 16S ribosomal RNA". It matches the Rfam family "Bacterial small subunit ribosomal RNA", at positions 338 to 795 of the family's 1533-position model. Lineage: Bacteria; Pseudomonadati; Pseudomonadota; Gammaproteobacteria; Oceanospirillales; Halomonadaceae. The record is from RNAcentral.